RNAcentral lists this ribosomal RNA (609 nucleotides) under Trichormus sp. MACC 155. Its description in RNAcentral is "bacterial SSU rRNA". It matches the Rfam family "Bacterial small subunit ribosomal RNA", at positions 45 to 698 of the family's 1533-position model. The record is from RNAcentral. Lineage: Bacteria; Bacillati; Cyanobacteriota; Cyanophyceae; Nostocales; Nostocaceae.
CGCUCUUACCCAUGCAGUCGAACGGUCUCUUCGGAGAUAGUGGCGGACGGGUGAGUAACGCGUGAGAAUCUAGCUUCAGGUCGGGGACAACCACUGGAAACGGUGGCUAAUACCGGAUGUGCCGAAAGGUGAAAGAUUUAUUGCCUGAAGAUGAGCUCGCGUCUGAUUAGCUAGUUGGUGUGGUAAGAGCGCACCAAGGCGACGAUCAGUAGCUGGUCUGAGAGGAUGAUCAGCCACACUGGGACUGAGACACGGCCCAGACUCCUACGGGAGGCAGCAGUGGGGAAUUUUCCGCAAUGGGCGAAAGCCUGACGGAGCAAUACCGCGUGAGGGAGGAAGGCUCUUGGGUUGUAAACCUCUUUUCUCAGGGAAUAAAAAAAUGAAGGUACCUGAGGAAUAAGCAUCGGCUAACUCCGUGCCAGCAGCCGCGGUAAUACGGAGGAUGCAAGCGUUAUCCGGAAUGAUUGGGCGUAAAGCGUCCGCAGGUGGCACUGUAAGUCUGCUGUUAAAGAGCAAGGCUCAACCUUGUAAAGGCAGUGGAAACUACAGAGCUAGAGUACGUUCGGGGCAGAGGGAAUUCCUGGUGUAGCGGUGAAUUGCGUAGAAAUA